AAAGUCGUAACAAGGUCUCCGUAGGUGAACCUGCGGAGGGAUCAUUAACACGUUUUAAAACACGUUUUAACUAACCAACCAACCACGUGAACUAUUUAACACUCCUGGAAGAGAAAGAAUUCUGUCUCCUCUCACUAAUGAUGAGUCUCGCUUCAUUGCGAGACAGUGAGUUUAGACUAGCAUUGCAGUUAAGAGCUGACUUGUAAAGACCUUUCACUUUUGGGCUAAAUGCUCCUAUCAUCAUUCGAGCGCAAACAACCCCUUUCACCACUUCUAUAACUAUUGACUGAUCUUUUUCUUUGCAACAUAAGAAAAAACUAAUCAAAUAUCUAAGCACAACUCUUAGCAACGGAUAUCUUGGUUCUC
RNAcentral lists this unclassified non-coding RNA (366 nucleotides) under Ascomycota sp. Its description in RNAcentral is "partial contains small subunit ribosomal RNA, internal transcribed spacer 1, and 5.8S ribosomal RNA". The stretch from base 1 to 47 matches the Rfam family "Eukaryotic small subunit ribosomal RNA", at positions 1785 to 1831 of the family's 1831-position model. Lineage: Eukaryota; Fungi; Ascomycota. The record is from RNAcentral.